Molecule: long non-coding RNA, 2384 nt
Organism: Hordeum vulgare subsp. vulgare (domesticated barley)
Lineage: Eukaryota; Viridiplantae; Streptophyta; Magnoliopsida; Poales; Poaceae
Exons: 2
Source: RefSeq, a predicted model, not a curated record
AUUUGUUCAAGCCUAAACCAUAAUUAUUUUAAAGCGCUUAUUCACCCUCUCUAGGCGACAUCCACGUCCUUUCACCGGACUCCCUCAAGCGUUGGUGUGAAAAAAACUUUGUUGUAUUUUCUGUUGUAUUUUCCCAUCAUGUCUUGAUCUGAGGGUGCAUGUGAGCUUUUGGUGGGUCCUUGGUUUGUACUUUAUUAAGGAUAAUUACUGCUCCACACAUAGUUUGCUCCAAGAGAUUAGUGCCACUACUUGAUUCAACAAUAGUACUGGUCUCUGCUUGUUCUUAGUGAUUUGCACUUGCAUUAAAUCAAAAUCUAGUUUGAUAGGGUUGUGAGCACACAUCCAAUCAGCUCCCAAUAUGAUGUGAUAAUCCUGGAGCUUUAGAACUCUGAAAUCUGAAGAAAAUUCCUCUCCUUGUAUUGAGUAUGGCAUUGGAGGGUCAUAAACUCAGUCAACAAUGUGCCAUCAUUGGCCACUACCAGUGGCGAGUCUAUUGGGCAGGCUUCAACAGGCUGAAGCCUGCCCUCCACAAGCCCAAUUGUUUUUACUAGUACCAUUUUUACUCAGCCAUUUAGUCAAGCUCUUAUGUCUAAGCCCGUGUGCUCCAUAUUUCCACGGUUGUCACACACAUACAUGCAUAACCACCAACAUGAGUGAACACGGGGAUUGAACCACGAACCUCCAAUCCUAGCGAGUGGAUGUGGGGUAAGCUGCAGCCAGUGGCCAGCAAGGCAGUGUCAUGCAUCCACGUGGCCGCGCCGGGCCUGGGGCGCCCUCCCUCACGGUCGGCCUUACUCUUGCUAUUUAGCAAGACAUAUCGAAAUAAUCUACAGUGGAUACUUUUUAUAUUAUUUAGACAAAAAGAAUGAGGACAUGAUGACUCUUUUGCUAAAAAGAUUGAAAUUUUGGUUUAAAAUUUCAUUUUGUUUCUAGAAAAUCGGUAAAAAUCAAGUAGAUAUUUGUGUUCCAAGUAGUAAUUCGGGAACUUUUAAGUUUAUUUGGGCAAAACUAUUGAUAGAUAAUGCCUAGAUCCAAACUUUCGUUCAAAAAUUGAUUUUUUUUAAAACACCCAUCAAUUUAAUUAUUAAAUAUUACAUGCUUUAAGUAGCAAUUAGGGAAUAUUUAGCUUAUGGACAAAAAGAUUGAGAAAAAAUGACUAUUUAGCUAGACAAAUCCGAUUUUUUAUUCAAAAUUGAUAUAUUUUGAAAACAAUUAUAAAAGUUCUAUUAAAUAGUACUUCCUCCGAUCCAUAAUAACUGUCGCAGUUUUGAACUAACUAAUUUUAAUUUUAAUUUUAAACUAACUAGUUUUAAACUUCCUCUCAUAUGGUUUUAGUACUCCCUCCGUCCCAAAAUAACUGUUUCAACUUUGUACUAGCUCUAGUACAAAGUUGUAUUAAGCUUAAGACACUUAUUUUGGGACGGAGAGAGUAGUAAUCUGUGAAAAAUUGAGAUAAUAGUUUUGUUCUUCAAAAGGGUAUGUAGUUUUUUAUUGUAAUUUUGAGCCCACCCUUGGUUUUCUUGCUAGAUUCCCCACUGGCCACUACUACCUUUGUUUUCUUAGUGGGGGUAAGAGGGCAUUUGCACUCUGUAGAAAAGGCACGGGAGAUGAAAGUGGCAGAACUACCACUGUCAAUAAGGGCAGUAGGAGGAUACUGUCCGAGCAUUGUAAAUAUGUGCUUGGUAUGGCUUAUUCCCAAUAGUACAUGCAUAGAAAUUUGCAACUGCUGCUGAUCUCCUGGCUCAGAAGUUUCUUGUUCAGUUUCUUCUGACAAUUCAGUGAAAUAAACCAGAUCAGCAUCAUCAGGAUAUUGUUCUUGUAAGGCUUGAAUUUGUGCUUGAUUGUUCAUCUUGCACACCUUUUUAUGCCCCAGAAACCAAGGUUUUUUUUCACUUGUAGCAGACCCAUUUUAAUAUGGCUUGCUGAAUGACAGAAGGGGUGUUAUUAGGAAGUGUUUUGGGUUGUUCAGUUAAGAAUGCUUUUCUGAAAGGUACAGGAGUGAACUGACUAAAAUUCCUCUUCGGUGGCUGUGCCUGCUCCAUUCUCCUUGCUAGCCGGAUGGCUGUGUGCAAAUCAGCAGGUUCAUGACACAUAAGGGUUGUCAGGAACGUUCCCUAGCCCAUAUAUGUACUUGGGUUGGCCUAGGAUGUCAUAUGUGCUGGGCCCGGAGGUGCACCGUGAGUGCUACGAGCUACAAGUAUCUCGGGGGAGAAGCAACGUGAGAGGCAUCCAGUGAAUCACGACACGGAACAGCGGCGGCUCCUCUCUCUUUCCCCUACCUCCAGUUUCUUCCCUGUUCCUCCCCUUCCUCUCAUUCGUGUACCAAAUUCUUGUACUCCAUCCGUUUCAAAAUAUAAGACCUUUUAGAGAUUUAUACUCUAAAA